Long non-coding RNA from Magnolia sinica, 1693 nucleotides. RefSeq lists it as uncharacterized. The record is from RefSeq and is a predicted model, not a curated record. The transcript is spliced from 4 exons. NCBI's taxonomy places the organism in Eukaryota, Viridiplantae, Streptophyta, Magnoliopsida, Magnoliales, Magnoliaceae.
UCUCAGUUCAGAAUAUUUAUCUGUCAAUGUUUUUCUUUUCCUUUGUUAUUGUAUAUUAUUCUGUUUUUUCAGGCUUUUUGGGACUAUUCUGAGAAAAAGUUGCUUGGAACAACAAAGGCAGAAUGUUCUGUUACAAGCGAAUGGUCUCCCAAUGGAUGCUACUUCAUGACUGCAACAACACCAUACAGUGAUUAACUUUAGUUAAGCAUUGAUGUAUUGACUUUAAAACCCUCCCACAACGUAUUGUAGCAGUAAGGGCCUCCAAAAGCCCUCCUACAUUUUUUUUACACACUCACACCAAUUCAUGGAAGCCUUCAGAACUUAAACAAAUCAAUUCAAUCAACUCAAAUUAACAGAUAUUAAGGGGUAAAAACAUACUUCUAUCAAGCUUAAGGAGAAAUUCAAUCAAUAAAAAAACUGAAAAUUUGAGCUUAGUAGCUGUAUGGAUGUGAAAAGGUUUGUUCCUUUGUGGGGCCUGAUUCAGUCCUCCUCUUUGGAUGAUCUCUUAUCAUCCACCUUUAUCUGGCAUUUAGAGCCAUUUCAGCUUUGUUCUUUUCUUCAAUAAAAGUUAUGUUGCCAUUAUAUUGCCAUUAAAAAAACUAAAAAAUGUUGGGUAAAAGUGCAGUUGCUUGUACCCAUAUAUAUGUUUUGUGAGCAUUCUCACAUGAGGUUGAUGGUUAUGCAAAUUAUUCUAAACUUUAAUUCCGAUCUUCUUUAAUUUAUUAUUGCUAUUUUUCUUCAAUUUCCUAAUCAAAUUAGAAAGAAAAGGUUAUCAUGAGGCUUAUGGCUUGCCUUUGCCUCACGCCUUUUUAAACCAUAGGCUUCCAUAACUCUCUUUUUCAUGAUUCAUAUACACUCCAAAAGAUCAUCAGAAAAUGGUUUUGUUUGUGUUUGAAUUUAGAAAUUCGCUGGCCAAAAGUAACUGCUGAACUUGUUUUCAUCACUGUUGAUGUAAAUAAAUUCAGAGUCCAAUACUGUAUUCUGACAAUAUUAUUCUCAUGUUUUGCUUCUUUUUUUUUUUUUUUUUCGAGUAUUUGUUCCCUUUCUUCAGGGACUUGCAUUACCAGCUAGACAUCAUCAUGAUUAGGAACUCAAAUGGAUCUUCAUCAGUAUGAUAAGAUGUUCUCACUUUAUGGGACCUAGACACAAAUGUUCUUGUAGCUGUAAUUGAAGAUACUCUUACAGUGAUUGUCUGAAUAUCAUUAUCUAAUUGUGUUGUGUGUGUAAAGUAGACAUUUGACGUGGAUCAUUGCUGAAAAAUGAUUGAUGGUUAUCAUGCACAUUAAUUUGACGUGGAAGCUUACCAAAAGAGAUGAGGCCUCGGUGCAAAGCAAGAGUGCCAUAGAAAAAGGUUUAUUUUUUAGUGUUUUUUUUUUUUCAUGCAGAAUUCUCUGUUUUCAUUGACGAUUUCAUUGAAUUGAAGUUGGGUUUCUUUGGAAAUUGGUUUGGGAUCUGUUUGAUAGUAUUUUUGUGUUUGUUGAGUUGAAUUGUUGAAGAAACGAUGACCAAGAAAAGGAGGCAGUUGAUUGAUAAACAGCCUGAUGGCAGUAGUGGAGGUUAUUCGGGUGGGAUCCGUGAUCUUGAAACACAACUCAAGCUUUAUGAUGUAGAAAGAAAUAAAAGAGCUAAUUCAACAUUGAGAUCUUGCUCAAUCUCUUCUCAAGGGCUGGUCUCUUUUCUCAACACUUUUCAG